This 1240-nucleotide long non-coding RNA is filed under the name Anas platyrhynchos platyrhynchos (common mallard). RNAcentral's name for it is "lncRNA (ENSAPLG00000028717.1)". The record is from RNAcentral. Lineage: Eukaryota; Metazoa; Chordata; Aves; Anseriformes; Anatidae.
GCGUAAUGCCAGCUCUUCAGUAUAUCUGGCUUCCUUCCUAACACUGCCUCAUUAUACUUGCCGAAAAGGAAAACACACUCCUAGAAGCUACCUACAAGGUGGUUUGGCUUAGCGUUUCUGUUUUUUCCACUUUUUAACAUUUUCCUUUCUCUUCUGUUCUUCUCCCAGCAGCAGAAUGCACAGGCUCCCGUAAGAAUUCCCCCUGGCUACAGUUCAUUUACAGCUGAUUUUAGAGACAGUACAAUAAGAGCACUUUGAAUCAGAGCGUGUCUGCUACCUGUCUGGCUGAAACAAGAAAGUGAAUAAAUCCAGCACCUCUUGAGCCUGUAAAUGUGAUCUACUGGAGCUGACCUGAAAUAUUAUCUGCUAUUGAGAUGUGUGUUUGUACAGUCCAGCUGUCCCAGAUCAGACACCUGGAAAAACUGCCUCUGUGUGAAAUAGUGGCCUAAUGCAAUGGCUUCCACAGACCUGUAUUUCGAAAAAGAAAAACUCAGAAGUAUUUUUCAAAAUAUGUUAUGCAAGCAUUUACUGAAUUUCCAAGAUUUGCAGUUAUUUCAAUGCCCUGAAAAUAGGCAAUUUGUCAAAAGAACAACAACAUCAACAAACCAAACCAAAACCAUAGAGGGACUCGAAGAACUUGACAUUCAAGGACUAGCUUCGAUCGUCACUGAAAUCCCCUCUUCUUGGCCCGAAGAGAUGUCAUAUGUGGGAAGUUAAAAGCAAGGAUAAGUACAUUUAGAAACUUGAACUAGAACUGUCUUCAGCUGAAUAUAUUUUUAAUCAUCUUAUUUGGCAACUGUUAAAUUAUACAAAUUGUAUCCUGUUUCUAACAUUCUUCUAUUGUGACAUGAAAUAAUUCUUUCACAAACAUCUCAAUGUGUCAUCAUUCUUUGGGGUUACUGGGAAAAAAUGUAUCUUAAAACAAUAAUACCACAACUUUAUAAUCUUUGACUUUUACUUCCUUCUGAGUUAGUAUGGUAGAAAAAAGCAAAAGGUAAUGUUCACCCAUGUGAACUCAACAAAAAGUAUAUACUGACCAUAAAUCAACUUGCACUGAGAUAAUUUUACUGCUUUUCUGGUUUCUAUUCACUUAAGCACCCAAAGGAAAAUUUCAUGUCAAUCAAACAAAUUUAUAUAAUGCCAUUUUUUAAAGUAUUAGAUUAGUUGGGAAAAAAAAAAAUAUGCAAAAUCUGUGUUUGUAUGAACAUUUCUUCUUGUGGGAAGACAGGCACAGGAAAGA